This 497-nucleotide ribosomal RNA is filed under the name uncultured bacterium. RNAcentral describes it as "partial 16S ribosomal RNA". It matches the Rfam family "Bacterial small subunit ribosomal RNA", at positions 30 to 523 of the family's 1533-position model. The record is from RNAcentral.
AUUGAACGCUGGCGGCAUGCCUUACACAUGCAAGUCGAACGGUAACAGGUCUUCGGAUGCUGACGAGUGGCGAACGGGUGAGUAAUACAUCGGAACGUGCCUAGUAGUGGGGGAUAACUACUCGAAAGAGUGGCUAAUACCGCAUGAGAUCUACGGAUGAAAGCAGGGGAUCGCAAGACCUUGUGCUACUAGAGCGGCCGAUGGCAGAUUAGGUAGUUGGUGGGAUAAAAGCUUACCAAGCCGACGAUCUGUAGCUGUCUGAGAGGGCGAUCAGCCACACUGGGACUGAGACACGGCCCAGAUUCCUACGGGAGGCAGCAGUGGGGAAUUUUGGACAAUGGGCGCAAGCCUGAUCCAGCAAUGCCGCGUGCAGGAUGAAGGCCUUCGGGUUGUAAACUGCUUUUGUACGGAACGAAAAGCCCCGGGUUAAUACCCUGGGGUCAUGACGGUACCGUAAGAAUAAGCACCGGCUAACUACGUGCCAGCCGCCGCGGUAA